UUCUUCGGGGCAGGGUGUAAUUCCCGACCGGCGGUAUAGUCCGCGACCCGAAUGACAAACAUGGAGGUAAUAAGCUACAUGAUAGUCGUUCGGCUGAUUUGGUGUAAUUCCAAAACCGACAGUAAAGUCUGGAUGUGAGAAGAA
RNAcentral lists this non-coding RNA (144 nucleotides) under Anaerocolumna aminovalerica. RNAcentral's name for it is "FMN riboswitch (RFN element)". It matches the Rfam family "FMN riboswitch aptamer (RFN element)". Rfam says of the family: The RFN element is a highly conserved domain that is found frequently in the 5'-untranslated regions of prokaryotic mRNAs that encode for flavin mononucleotide (FMN) biosynthesis and transport proteins. Lineage: Bacteria; Bacillati; Bacillota; Clostridia; Lachnospirales; Lachnospiraceae. The record is from RNAcentral.